GCGGUUAUGGCUCAGUGGUAGAGCGCUUGCUUAGCACGUGUGAGGUACUGGGUUCUAUUCUCAGUACCACA
Molecule: transfer RNA, 71 nt
Filed under: Ictidomys tridecemlineatus (thirteen-lined ground squirrel)
Lineage: Eukaryota; Metazoa; Chordata; Mammalia; Rodentia; Sciuridae
Description: Spermophilus tridecemlineatus (thirteen-lined ground squirrel) tRNA
Rfam family: tRNA
About the family: Transfer RNA (tRNA) molecules are approximately 80 nucleotides in length. Their secondary structure includes four short double-helical elements and three loops (D, anti-codon, and T loops).
Source: Rfam by way of RNAcentral